CUACGGGUCGCUGCAGUAGGGAAUAUUGGGCAAUGGGCGAAAGCCUGACCCAGCCAUGCCGCGUGUGUGAUGAAGGCCCUAGGGUUGUAAAGCACUUUCAAUGGUGAAGAUAAUGACGGUAACCAUAGAAGAAGCCCCGGCUAACUUCGUGCCAGCAGCCGCGGUAAUACGAAGGGGGCAAGCGUUGUUCGGAUUUACUGGGCGUAAAGCGCGUGCAGGCGGUUUGUUAAGUUAGAUGUGAAAGCCCAGGGCUCAACCCUGGAAUUGCAUUUAAUACUGGCAAACUUGAGUAUAGGAGAGGAGAACGGAAUUUCCAGUGUAGAGGUGAAAUUCGUAGAUAUUGGAAAGAACACCAGUGGCGAAGGCGGUUCUCUGGCCUAAUACUGACGCUGAGGCGCGAAAGCGUGGGGAGCAAACAGGAUUAGAUACCCUCGUAGUC
Molecule: ribosomal RNA, 439 nt
Filed under: uncultured bacterium
Lineage: Bacteria
Description: partial 16S ribosomal RNA
Rfam family: Bacterial small subunit ribosomal RNA
Source: RNAcentral